This 216-nucleotide long non-coding RNA is filed under the name Elaeis guineensis (African oil palm). RNAcentral's name for it is "long non-coding RNA (EGUI_LNC063050)". Lineage: Eukaryota; Viridiplantae; Streptophyta; Magnoliopsida; Arecales; Arecaceae. The record is from RNAcentral.
UUCCUGAAAUAGCCCUAUAUUCUUCAAUCUGUUAUCAAAGCCAAGCUUUGAUAUAUGGAUGCAUAACUGAUUUUUUUUGAUUGAUUUAUAUAUGGUAUGUAGUUAGAAUUUUAUAUUAGACAUUAAAUCUAAUUUAGAUCUAUUUAAAUAAAAUUUAUGAUCUGAUUUGGAUUAGAUUUCAAGAACCUAAUAAAUGGUUGGUUAAGGUUUGUUAUA